CCUACGGGCGGCUGCAGUGGGGAAUAUUGGACAAUGGGGGGAACCCUGAUCCAGCCAUGCCGCGUGUGUGAAGAAGGCCCUCGGGUUGUAAAGCACUUUCAGUGAGGAAGAACGCCUGGUGGUUAAUACCCAUCAGGAAAGACAUCACUCACAGAAGAAGUACCGGCUAACUCCGUGCCAGCAGCCGCGGUAAUACGGAGGGGUGCGAGCGUUAAUCGGAAUUACUGGGCGUAAAGCGCGCGUAGGUGGCUUGAUAAGCCGGUUGUGAAAGCCCCGGGCUCAACCUGGGAACGGCAUCCGGAACUGUCAAGCUAGAGUGCAGGAGAGGAAGGUAGAAUUCCCGGUGUAGCGGUGAAAUGCGUAGAGAUCGGGAGGAAUACCAGUGGCGAAGGCGGCCUUCUGGACUGACACUGACACUGAGGUGCGAAAGCGUGGGUAGCAAACAGGAUUAGAUACCCGGGUAGUC
Molecule: ribosomal RNA, 466 nt
Filed under: Vreelandella stevensii
Lineage: Bacteria; Pseudomonadati; Pseudomonadota; Gammaproteobacteria; Oceanospirillales; Halomonadaceae
Description: partial 16S ribosomal RNA
Rfam family: Bacterial small subunit ribosomal RNA
Source: RNAcentral